This is a non-coding RNA of Heterocephalus glaber (naked mole-rat), 1314 nucleotides long. The record is from RefSeq and is a predicted model, not a curated record. NCBI's taxonomy places the organism in Eukaryota, Metazoa, Chordata, Mammalia, Rodentia, Bathyergidae.
UUGACAGUUCUUUCUUGAAAACUUUUAUGCCAGUAUAGUACUUCUGGCCACCAUAAAUUCAGACCAAAAAUACACUGUCAUUUGAAUUUAUUUUUCUCUACAAUUAAUGCAUUUUUUUCUAUUUUCUAGAGUUUUUUCUUUGCCUUUAUUGUUCAGAAGUUUAAUUAUGGUAUGUAUUCAUGUAUAUGUCUUUUUAAAAAUGUUAUUUAGUUUUUCCUAAAGUUUUUGAAUCUGUAAGUUUGUGUCUUUUGCAAAUGUUUGAACGUGCUUUCUUUUCAUUCUGGAACUUUGAUGACAUGAAUGUUACCUCUUUUUGAAUUGUUCCACAAGUUCCUGAGAUCCUGACCCACCUCCCACCAAGUUUCCUUUUUUCUCAUUUUUUUUUUCCUCAGGCUUGGCAGAUUCAUUUGAUCUGACCUCAAGUUCAAUGAUUCUUUGAUGAUUUGUCAUAUCUCCUUUGCUCUUGAGCCUGUCCACCGAGGCUUUUUAUUGUGGUUAUUGUUUUUUAUUUCUAUCUUUUCCACUUGUUUUUAUUUUUAUACCUUCUAUUUAUUUGCUUACAUUUUCUUUGUUUUUCAUAUAUUUCAAGAAACACAUAAUUGCCUUUUGAAAUAUUUAUCUGAUAAUUUACUUAAAAUUUUUGUCAGAUAAUUCUAACAACUCAUUUCUUUUGAUAUUGGUGUAUGCUGCUUGUCUUGUUCCUUCAUUGCUGAUUUAGGGUAUGAUGAAUAAUGUUCAGUUGUAUUCUAGAUGUUAUGAGUAUUAUAUAGAUCUGGAUUCUUGUUAAUCUUACUAUUUUUUUAAAGCAAGGAGUUCCACUAUGUCGAGAUAUUCGGUAAAGGUUAGCUGGGAGUGAAUGUGCAGUCUUCCACUGGGCUCAACUGAUAAACACUGCAGCAAAAAAUGGGAUAUUAACUCACAUCAACUUAGUGCAAACAGAUUAUAAACCAUCAUUAAGAAGUAAUGACAAAGAAUCAACAACUGGGAUCUCAUCUUAUUAAAAAGUUUCUGCACUGCAAGAGAAACCACCAACAGAGCUAAGAGACAACCUACAAGGUCAUCCAAUCAACUGCUGUGAGAGUCAAAAAUAGAAGCUAAGUCUAAUGCUCAACAGUCGCUAAAGGAUCGGAGCCUGAUUACUUGCCUGGAGUAGACCUCAGCCUCUCCUGAGAUUUGCCUUAUCUGUAAGGAGAGAUCAUCCAGGGAGACUCAGUCAUUUCAAAGCUUAGUUUAACUUUAUGAAGAGGGGUAGAAAAAAGUUCAUAAACAUUUGGGAAAAUAUUUGGUAAUGAGGUCUAGUUAUAAAUUUCUGAU